Molecule: non-coding RNA, 27 nt
Filed under: Mus musculus (house mouse)
Lineage: Eukaryota; Metazoa; Chordata; Mammalia; Rodentia; Muridae
Source: RNAcentral
UUCUGUUUGAUUAGGUAAGAUUUAAGA